Molecule: ribosomal RNA, 251 nt
Filed under: uncultured prokaryote
Description: partial 16S rRNA
Rfam family: Bacterial small subunit ribosomal RNA
Source: RNAcentral
ACGUAGGGGGCAAGCGUUGUCCGGAAUUACUGGGCGUAAAGCGCACGCAGGCUGAAUUAUAAGUCGGUAGUCAAAGGCGGAGGCUCAACUUCCGUUUAUCUAUCGAAACUGUAAAUCUAGAGUAUGUGAGAGGGAAGUGGAAUUCCCGGUGGUGCGCUGAAAGGCGUAGUGCUCGGGAUCAAGAGCAGAGGCGAGGGAGGCGUCCGGGAACAAUUCUCCGGCUCGUGUGUGGUAGUUAGUGUCGGGGACGG